AGUGAACGCUGGCGGCAGGCCUAACACAUGCCAGUCGAACGGCAGCACAAGAGAGCUUGCUCUCUGGGUGGCGAGUGGCGGACGGGUGAGGCAUGCAUCGGAAUCUGCCCAUUUGUGGGGGAUAACCUCGGGAAACCGGGACUAAUACCGCAUACGACCUACGGGUGAAAGCAGGGGAUCUUCGGACCUUGCGCAGAUGGAUGAGCCGAUGCCGGAUUAGCUAGUUGGAGGGGUAAAGGCCCACCAAGGCGACGAUCCGUAGCUGGUCUGAGAGGAUGAUCAGCCACACUGGGACUGAGACACGGCCCAGACUCCUACGGGAGGCAGCAGUGGGGAAUAUUGGACAAUGGGCGCAAGCCUGAUCCAGCCAUGCCGCGUGUGUGAAGAAGGCCUUCGGGUUGUAAAGCACUUUUGUUGGGAAAGAAAAGCAGCCGGUUAAUACCCGGUUGUCAUGACGGUACCCAAAGAAUAAGCACCGGCUAACUUCGUG
Molecule: ribosomal RNA, 490 nt
Filed under: uncultured bacterium
Lineage: Bacteria
Description: partial 16S ribosomal RNA
Rfam family: Bacterial small subunit ribosomal RNA
Source: RNAcentral